AUUGAACGCUGGCGGAAUGCUUUACACAUGCAAGUCGAACUGCAGCACGGGGCAACCUGGUGGCGAGUGGCGAACGGGUGAGUAAUACAUCGGAACGUGCCCAAUCGUGGGGGAUAACGUAGCGAAAGCUACGCUAAUACCGCAUACGAUCUACGGAUGAAAGCGGGGGAUCGCAAGACCUCGCGCGAAUGGAGCGGCCGAUGGCAGAUGAGGUAGUUGGUGGGGUAAAGGCUCACCAAGCCGACGAUCUGUAGCUGGUCUGAGAGGACGACCAGCCACACGGGGACUGAGACACGGCCCAGACUCCGACGGGAGGCAGCAGUGGGGAAUUUUGGACAAUGGGCGCAAGCCUGAUCCAGCCAUUCCGCGUGCAGGAUGAAGGCCUUCGGGUUGUAAACUGCUUUUGUACGGAACGAAAAGGCUCUGGUUAAUACCCGGGGCUCAUGACGGUACCGUAAGAAUAAGCACCGGCUAACUACGUGCCAGCCGCCGCCGUAA
This 498-nucleotide ribosomal RNA is filed under the name uncultured bacterium. Its description in RNAcentral is "partial 16S ribosomal RNA". It matches the Rfam family "Bacterial small subunit ribosomal RNA", at positions 29 to 523 of the family's 1533-position model. The record is from RNAcentral.